This 189-nucleotide ribosomal RNA is filed under the name uncultured bacterium. RNAcentral describes it as "partial 16S ribosomal RNA". It matches the Rfam family "Bacterial small subunit ribosomal RNA", at positions 338 to 524 of the family's 1533-position model. The record is from RNAcentral.
CCUACGGUAGGCAGCAGUGAGGAAUAUUGGACAAUGGGUGAAAGCCUGAUCCAGCCAUCCCGCGUGCAGGAAGACGGCCCUAUGGGUUGUAAACUGCUUUUAUCUGGGGAUAAACCUACUUACGUGUAAGUAGCUGAAGGUACCAGAAGAAUAAGCACCGGCUAACUCCGUGCCAGCAGCCGCGGUAAU